GGGUUGUGAGGUUAAGCGACUAAGCGUACACGGUGGAUGCCCUGGCAGUCAGAGGCGAUGAAGGACGUGCUAAUCUGCGAUAAGCGUCGGUAAGGUGAUAUGAACCGUUAUAACCGGCGAUUUCCGAAUGGGGAAACCCAGUGUGUUUCGACACACUAUCAUUAACUGAAUCCAUAGGUUAAUGAGGCGAACCGGGGGAACUGAAACAUCUAAGUACCCCGAGGAAAAGAAAUCAACCGAGAUUCCCCCAGUAGCGGCGAGCGAACGGGGAGGAGCCCAGAGCCUGAAUCAGUGUGUGUGUUAGUGGAAGCGUCUGGAAAGGCGCGCGAUACAGGGUGACAGCCCCGUACACAAAAAUGCACAUGCUGUGAGCUCGAUGAGUAGGGCGGGACACGUGGUAUCCUGUCUGAAUAUGGGGGGACCAUCCUCCAAGGCUAAAUACUCCUGACUGACCGAUAGUGAACCAGUACCGUGAGGGAAAGGCGAAAAGAACCCCGGCGAGGGGAGUGAAAAAGAACCUGAAACCGUGUACGUACAAGCAGUGGGAGCAUGCUUAGGCGUGUGACUGCGUACCUUUUGUAUAAUGGGUCAGCGACUUAUAUUCUGUAGCAAGGUUAACCGAAUAGGGGAGCCGAAGGGAAACCGAGUCUUAACUGGGCGUUAAGUUGCAGGGUAUAGACCCGAAACCCGGUGAUCUAGCCAUGGGCAGGUUGAAGGUUGGGUAACACUAACUGGAGGACCGAACCGACUAAUGUUGAAAAAUUAGCGGAUGACUUGUGGCUGGGGGUGAAAGGCCAAUCAAACCGGGAGAUAGCUGGUUCUCCCCGAAAGCUAUUUAGGUAGCGCCUCGUGAACUCAUCUCCGGGGGUAGAGCACUGUUUCGGCAAGGGGGUCAUCCCGACUUACCAACCCGAUGCAAACUGCGAAUACCGGAGAAUGUUAUCACGGGAGACACACGGCGGGUGCUAACGUCCGUCGUGAAGAGGGAAACAACCCAGACCGCCAGCUAAGGUCCCAAAGUCAUGGUUAAGUGGGAAACGAUGUGGGAAGGCCCAGACAGCCAGGAUGUUGGCUUAGAAGCAGCCAUCAUUUAAAGAAAGCGUAAUAGCUCACUGGUCGAGUCGGCCUGCGCGGAAGAUGUAACGGGGCUAAACCAUGCACCGAAGCUGCGGCAGC
RNAcentral lists this ribosomal RNA (1176 nucleotides) under Escherichia coli. RNAcentral's name for it is "partial 23S ribosomal RNA". It matches the Rfam family "Bacterial large subunit ribosomal RNA", at positions 1 to 1209 of the family's 2925-position model. The record is from RNAcentral. Lineage: Bacteria; Pseudomonadati; Pseudomonadota; Gammaproteobacteria; Enterobacterales; Enterobacteriaceae.